AUGGGUUUUGCAAUUGGAAUGAGAACAAUUUAAAUCCCUUAACGAGGAUCAAUUGGAGGGCAAGUCUGGUGCCAGCAGCCGCGGUAAUUCCAGCUCCAAUAGCGUAUAUUAAUGUUGUUGCAGUUAAAAAGCUCGUAGUUGAAUUUCUGGAUCUAAUUCCUGGUCCGAGGCCUUGUGUCUUGUGUACUUUGAUUCUAUUAGAUCCAUCUUAGUAGUGAAUGUUACUGGCAUUAAGUUAUCGGUAGCAGGAGCUGCUUCUUUUACUGUGAAUAAAAUAGAGUGUUUAAAGCAGGCAUUACGCCUUGAAUACUUCAGCAUGGAAUAAAAAAAUAGGACUUUGGUGCUAUUUUAUUGGUUUGCACACCAAGUAAUGAUUAAUAGGGAUAGUUGGGGGUAUUCAUAUUUGAUUGUCAGAGGUGAAAUUCUUGGAUUUAUGAAAGAUGAACUUAUGCGAAAGCAUUUACCAAGGAUGUUUUCAUUAAUCAAGAAC
RNAcentral lists this ribosomal RNA (490 nucleotides) under uncultured heterokont. Its description in RNAcentral is "SSU rRNA". It matches the Rfam family "Eukaryotic small subunit ribosomal RNA", at positions 496 to 984 of the family's 1831-position model. The record is from RNAcentral.